Molecule: ribosomal RNA, 271 nt
Filed under: uncultured soil bacterium
Lineage: Bacteria
Description: partial 16S ribosomal RNA
Rfam family: Bacterial small subunit ribosomal RNA
Source: RNAcentral
AGAAUCAACGCUGGCGGCGUGCCUAACACAUGCAAGUCGAACGCGAAAGCCCCGCAAGGGGCAAGUAGAGUGGCAAACGGGUGAGUAACACGUGGGUGACCUGCCUUCGAGUGGGGGAUAACGUCCCGAAAGGGACGCUAAUACCGCAUGACAUCCUGCUUUUGGAAAAGCGGAAAUUAAAGCCGGGGAUCGCAAGACCUGGCGCUUGAGGAGGGGCCCGCGGCUGAUUAGCUAGUUGGUGAGGUAACGGCUCACCAAGGCAACGAUCAGU